CGCGAAGUUAGCGCGAGUCAAACGAAGGCGCCAAUCGUCUCCGUGAUUAGAGAUGAAUUUUUAUUUGUGCUAAACGAACAUCGUGCGAGAAAGCGGUCAAUGUGAUCGCGCGAUGAACAACGAAAUGUCGCAUUCACGCGCGAACAUUGCUGCCUUCGGGGUGAUGCUUUUGCUGGGACGCGUCAAGACAAAAUCAAGAUCGAGCGCCGGUGUUAGGUUAUCCGCACCGGAGCGCGGCACAGUGAAGCUGUCCGAUUUAUGUCGAUUGCAUCGACUUCGAUAAUCGCAAUCAGUUCGAAAGUCGCGAUCGGCGCCAACGGUCGGUCAGUUUCUCGUCGCCGCCGUCGCCGUUGUCGCCGUCACCGCGUGAGAUCAGAUUCUUUUUUGGGAGUGAAAAGGAAAGUAAAUUUCGGGCUACCCGGCCAUUCGUGCUCGUGACGAUCAUCGUGAAAUUCACGCGCGCGAAAUCUCAAAAUCUGCGAGAUUGUCCCGAUACACGACGUCAUCGUGAUUGGGGACCGGCGUCGUCGAUCGACGUAAACAACGUGUCUCGCAUGACCGUUCUGACCUUACACUGAAAGAGGAAGAGAAAAAGAGAGCGAAAGACAUCGCGCCGAGUCAUGAAAUAGCGGCGUACGCAUUUUCCUGCGGAAACCGCAGGAUGUCACUUGCGAGAUAAUCGAAGUCUCUGACAUUCGUGUUGACACUUCAGGACGCAAGACGCAAGUUUCCAAAUUCUUCGUCACAUCACUGACGAAUCGUUGACUCUCGACGUUCCAAGCAUACGGAAUCGUUAAAACUGACAUGAAUGAGAGAUUGCAUCUAACAGAGAGGUUUGUGUGAUUGCGUCAACUGUGUUAUAUCGAGUCUCUUAGGUGUGUCCUUCGUGUGCGGUAUUCUUGAGUGAUAUCGCCAAGGAGAAACGAACUAUGCUGACAAAGGGGCGAGGCGGAGCGGAGGAAGGCGCUACGAGGCUACGAGGAGGUUAAUAAAUUCCGUUUUAAUCUCGUUGCGCGCGCUGUUGUGUCGGAGUAACAAUCGACUUCCGUCAUUUGCGGUGAAUUUACGAGGGUUCGUUAAAUAUAUAAUUCGCAGAGCGAUGUCCCCUCCCCCUCCUCCGCGCGUUAAUGGCUUUGUUAAGGCCGUCAUCUCCGAAACUUUCACGUAGAAAAGUCCGGACGAGGAAACGCGAGUGCCGACUUCGUUCGAGGUCGAUCGUGCACGAACCGCGUGUCUCGCGGUUAUUUUCCUUAAUAGAAAUCACGUGCACACCCGGGAGAUACGAAUGCCUUCGGGGUGCGCGCGUGUUCGCGAACAAUGAGCGAUGAAAAAAGGAGGAGGAAAAAAAUCUCGCGGCGCCUCGCGGAAAUUAGGCACGGAGCGGCCUAAAUAAUAGUAACUUUGACGUCCGCGACUUUGCCGAUCACGUAGGAGCUCUCUUUUUAGCCGCUUCACUUGGCAUUUAAUCGACGGCCGUGAAGAACACAUGCAUUUACAAACGUCUAUUUACAUAUGCGGUCCGACAGGCCGUACAAAAGCAUUAAUAAUUUAUCUUCUCUGUGAGACCAGUCUAUGAUAAAGUGAUGAAUUUAAAACGCAUGUCGCAUAUAUAUAUAUAUAUAUAUAUAUAUAUAUAUAUGUGUGUGUAAGCGGAAACGUUUUUGACUUUGUUGGAUAAAAUAUCAUUUAUAAUGAAUAACGACAUCGAAUAAACAACACGUGUAUUAACGCGCGAAAAAUAAUCCGCCAAUGUUUUUUUCGGCGAAAGAUGCAAAAUUCCUGGACGCUUCAGAGGAAAAGGAUACCUUGGUGCGAGAUAAGUCGUGCAAGCCGGAAACGUGAAUAC
This is a long non-coding RNA of Pogonomyrmex barbatus (red harvester ant), 1846 nucleotides long. The record is from RefSeq and is a predicted model, not a curated record. Lineage: Eukaryota; Metazoa; Arthropoda; Insecta; Hymenoptera; Formicidae.